Molecule: non-coding RNA, 76 nt
Organism: Podarcis lilfordi (Lilford's wall lizard)
Lineage: Eukaryota; Metazoa; Chordata; Lepidosauria; Squamata; Lacertidae
Source: the annotation of a GenBank genome assembly
GCCAGAUAGUGGAUUGGGCUGGUAGAGCACGAGACUCUUGAUCUCAGGGUUGCGGGUUUGAGCCCCACAUUGGGCA